AAUUUCGGGUGAUCGCAGUCUAGCUAGACUAGGCUGAGGAAAGUCCAUGCUCGCACAAGCUGAGAUGCUUGUAGUGUUCGUGCUCAGCAAAACAAUAAGCUGAGGCCUUUAGUAACAACUAAAGUGACGGCAGAAAAAAGGGCUAAUGUGAAAACGAUGCCCGAGUAUUCUUGAAAGUGCCACAGUGACGAAGCAAUCUCGGAAACGUGAUUGGUGGAACGGGUAAACCCCUCGAGCGAGCAACCCAAACAUUUGGUAGGGGCACUUUUCCUAGGGAAUACAACCGAUGGAAGAGGCGUAAUCGCAGACAGAUGAUUACCUCCAGUUAGCGAUUUGCCUGGUCGCUAAUUGAGACAGAACAUGGCUUACAGAA
RNAcentral lists this RNase P RNA (373 nucleotides) under Pisciglobus halotolerans. RNAcentral describes it as "RNase P RNA component class B". It matches the Rfam family "Bacterial RNase P class B". From Rfam's summary of the family: Ribonuclease P (RNase P) is a ubiquitous endoribonuclease, found in archaea, bacteria and eukarya as well as chloroplasts and mitochondria. Its best characterised activity is the generation of mature 5'-ends of tRNAs by cleaving the 5'-leader elements of precursor-tRNAs. Lineage: Bacteria; Bacillati; Bacillota; Bacilli; Lactobacillales; Carnobacteriaceae. The record is from RNAcentral.